AGGGUUCGAUCAUGGCUCAGAUUGAACGCUGGUGGUAUGCUUAACACAUGCAAGUCGAACGGUAACAUUGGAGCUUGCUCCAGAUGACGAGUGGCGGACGGGUGAGUAACGCGUAGGAAUCUGCCUAGUAGUGGGGGACAACAUGUGGAAACGCAUGCUAAUACCGCAUACGCCCUACGGGGGAAAGCGGGGGAUCUUCGGACCUCGCGCUAUUAGAUGAGCCUGCGUUAGAUUAGCUUGUUGGUGGGGUAAUGGCCUACCAAGGCGACGAUCUAUAGCUGGUCUGAGAGGACGAUCAGCCACACUGGGACUGAGACACGGCCCAGACUCCUACGGGAGGCAGCAGUGGGGAAUAUUGGACAAUGGGCGCAAGCCUGAUCCAGCAAUACCACGUGUGUGAAGAAGGCCUGAGGGUUGUAAAGCACUUUCAAUUGGGAGGAAAACAGCUGGGUUAAUAGCCCUGCUCUUGACAUUACCUUUAGAAGAAGCACCGGCUAACUCCGUGCCAGCAGCCGCGGUAAUACGGAGGGUGCGAGCGUUAAUCGGAAUUACUGGGCGUAAAGCGUACGUAGGCGGUUAUUUAAGUCAGAUGUGAAAGCCCCGGGCUCAACCUGGGAACUGCAUUUGAAACUGGAUAACUAGAGUUUGAUAGAGGAGAGUAGAAUUUCUGGUGUAGCGGU
This 680-nucleotide ribosomal RNA is filed under the name uncultured bacterium. RNAcentral describes it as "bacterial SSU rRNA". It matches the Rfam family "Bacterial small subunit ribosomal RNA", at positions 8 to 682 of the family's 1533-position model. The record is from RNAcentral.